AGGAUAGAGUUUUACCUCGAUGAAAGUUUCAUUUUUACUAAUGUGAUUUUCAUGGGGAUAAGACCCUAUCAUGGUUAUAAUGACUUUUGGUGUAUCCAUCUUCCAAUAGAAUGGCAACUAGUCAGACAUCUGUUUAGACACCAAAAUCAUUAUUUGUUUUCAUUCAUCUCAUUGGCCGUGUAGUUCAUGUCUAUGCCUCAUCCCGUUAUGCAUAGGCGCCCGAACAUGAUGGCAACGCUGGAAAUGUUUAUUUCGAGCGUCUUUUUUUG
This is a small RNA of Listeria monocytogenes EGD-e, 269 nucleotides long. It matches the Rfam family "Listeria Hfq binding LhrA". From Rfam's summary of the family: This RNA was identifed by screening for RNA molecules which co-immunoprecipitated with the RNA chaperone Hfq. It appears to be transcribed from a region overlapping with predicted protein of unknown function (Lmo2257) and is located between a putative intracellular protease/amidase and a putative protein of the ribulose-phosphate 3 epimerase family. The record is from Rfam. Lineage: Bacteria; Bacillati; Bacillota; Bacilli; Caryophanales; Listeriaceae.